This 774-nucleotide ribosomal RNA is filed under the name uncultured Neocallimastigales. RNAcentral's name for it is "partial large subunit ribosomal RNA". It matches the Rfam family "Eukaryotic large subunit ribosomal RNA", at positions 24 to 614 of the family's 3401-position model. Lineage: Eukaryota; Fungi; Neocallimastigomycota; Neocallimastigomycetes; Neocallimastigales. The record is from RNAcentral.
UAUGUGAUCGUCUCUCGCAUAUCAAUAAGCGGAGGAAAAGAAACUAACAAGGAUUCCCCUAGUAACGGCGAGUGAAGCGGGAAGAGCUCAAAUUUGAAAUCUUAAAGGGUUUCCCUUUACGAAUUGUAGUUUAAAGAAGUGUUUUCUGCUGAAGUUUUGGUAAAAGUUCUUUGGAAUAGGACAUCAUAGAGGGUGAGAAUCCCGUAUUUGACCAUUAUUUUCAGCUUUGUGAUACACUUUCAAAGAGUCGGAUUGUUUGGGAAUGCAGUCCAAAAUGGGUGGUAAAUUUCAUCUAAAGCUAAAUAUUGGCGAGAGACCGAUAGCGAACAAGUACCGUGAGGGAAAGAUGAAAAGAACUUUGAAAAGAGAGUUAAACAGUACGUGAAAUUGUCAAAAGGGAAGCGUUUGACACCAGUGUUGUUUUUCUGAAAAUCAAUUAAAGAACUGUUUAUGCUAAGUUGUUUAGACUUUAUCAGCUAACUGUUUAGUUUUGAGCUUUUCUUUAAUGCACUUUUCAGUUAACAAGUCAACAUCAAUUUCUUUUGCUGUAAAAAAGCUUGAGGAAGGUGGCUUGAGAUUCGUCUUAAGUGUUUAUAGCCUCUUGCCUAUGCAGUCGGAGAGAUUGAGGUCUGCAGCGUAGAUCCUUCGGGGCUAAAUGCAUUUGUGCUAAGUUAUAGCAUUUUAUAGACAACUUGUUGACUAUGAUUUGUCUUGUAGCUUACUCGCUUAUGUUAUUUUACCUACGCUUAGGAUGUUGAGUCAUCACACAUCUCU